UGAAAAGCUGAGCAAUUGUCCUGCUUCCAUGACUCAUGGGCUCCACCAUGGACAGGCUUUACUCCAUUCUCCUGCUGCUGAUUGUCCCUCCCUGGGUUUUUUCCCAGGUCACAUUGAAGGAGACUGGUCCUGGUCUGGUGAAAACUGCCCAGACCCUUACACUGACCUGCACCUUUUCUGGGUUCUCAAUCAGCACUUCUGGAAUCGGUGUUGCCUGGAUCCGUAAGCCCCCAGGGAAGGCACUGGAGUGGCUUGCAACAAUAUGGUGGGAUGAUGAUAAGUAUUAUGCAGCAUCUCUGAAAAGCCGGCUCACAAUCUCUAAGGACAAUGCCAGAAGUCAGGUGUCUCUAGCAAUGACCAACAUGAACCCUGUAGACACAGCCAUGUAUUACUGUGCAAGAAGAGCACAGAGGCACAGUCCCAUGGUACUUUUGUACAAAAACAAUUAUGGGUUCUCAGCUGUGCCCACACCUCUAGAGAAAAGGAGAGUUCAGUGA
Non-coding RNA from Choloepus didactylus (southern two-toed sloth), 497 nucleotides. NCBI's taxonomy places the organism in Eukaryota, Metazoa, Chordata, Mammalia, Pilosa, Megalonychidae. The record is from the annotation of a RefSeq genome assembly.